RNAcentral lists this transfer-messenger RNA (418 nucleotides) under Candidatus Nealsonbacteria bacterium CG_4_10_14_0_8_um_filter_37_14. It matches the Rfam family "transfer-messenger RNA". From Rfam's summary of the family: Bacterial tmRNA, also known as 10Sa RNA or SsrA, is named for its dual tRNA and mRNA-like properties. Its role is to liberate the mRNA from a stalled ribosome. To accomplish this part of the tmRNA is used as a reading frame that ends in a translation stop signal. The record is from RNAcentral. Lineage: Bacteria; Candidatus Nealsoniibacteriota. RNAcentral also lists the same sequence under 4 other names.
GGGGAUGAAACAGAUUCGAUGGAAGAACUUUCCAAAAUAGGCAGAUCGAGCAGGAUCGUCCACUCGUAAAACGGUCGAUCAAAAAAAUAAGUGCCAACUUAUUUGAGAAAGCUAAGUACGCUAUUGCUGGCAUUAGAUGGCCAGGUUUAGCUCCUAGCUUCGUUUAUGCUUAAUACGGGGCCACAAACUCCACGUUAAGCCAUCCGAACCUUGAUUCUCGAUAAAGGAUUUUUGGGUGUUAUAUUUUCGAGAUAGGUAAUUGUUGCGUCUUAAACAAUUAUCAAAAUUUAGAGACUAGAAACAUUAGAAUUUUGUCUGUUUUUAAUCUAAUGUUUCAAAAAAAAUAAAACAGACUAAAUCUGUAGAUCUGUUUUGAAAAGCCUUCCAGACGCGAGGGCAGUACUCGCCAUCUCCACAU